CUGGGACAUUUUAUCUGAUACGGAUGACUCCAGAGAAGAUCAUCUUGAAACAUCAGAGUGUACUCCUGGCAUUCAACUUCUGGUGCAUAUGGCGGGGGAGCGGCAAGUGAAGAAGUCAGAUCGUUCCGCACGCGUCACAAAUGCGACAAUCAUUGAGCUUCGGUGUGGAUGAUAGAAUAUGUAGGCGCUCAUCUGGAUUUCUCUCAUUUACGAUGGCGGAUGAGCAGCUGAGCAUGGAUUGGGGAGCACUUGGAACAGUGCAGCUUCCGCUACACGGACUAAGAACAAACUGAUGCGCUCUCCAGACUUCCAGUUUGCUGUCUCGCCACGUUGAAGUCCUUAUACUUGAUGACAGAAUGUUCGAUCCGAGGGAUGCGACUGCAGCUGCUUGCUUUAAGCUGUUUGGAUCUAUCGUCAUGGCUGAUACUUCCCAGACAUGAGCAGAAUAGAGUUGCGGUGAACCGUCCUUUUGAGACGGGCGUGACAUCGAGACGCUUUGGACUUGCACUGUUUCGGGACUGGCAACGCGCUCUGCUGAAUGAUUUCGUGCAGAGAUCAGCUGUGCUCACUGGUGACCAAAGAGUAUCCUCGUGCCGUUGUUUACCGGUGAAGUUGAAGCGACAUGCCAACUUCUGUGUGGAUGGAUCAUUGAUUGGAGAAGUCAUUGGGAUACUCACGCGGCUGUCAACCGUCAACGAAAGGGCUUUUUGAAAACUAUAUUGUAUGGAGUGGCAAGCAGUAGCGCAUUUGAUUCAAGGUGGCCCUGCUUCACUCCGUAGUGAUCAUUUCCGUCAGAUUCUGCUGAUCAAGGGCGAGCCACGACUGAGAUGUGCAUCUAGUCUGGCAUUUCUUAACGUUAUUUUUCAUAAGGUGUUUCUUACAGCUGACUUGAGGUACUGCUGGGCUAUCACUGAGACACCGAUGUGACUACGAACAUCUACGCACAGCUAGGCUACACAACACAUGCUUCCUCUUGAGCCGGUGGCUUCUUUCGACUGGCUUCUAAAGAACACCCGAGCGAUGCGUUUGAGAUCGGUGUACCAUAAUUGUAAAAUGAUUGGAUGCCUGAGCCUCAAUGAUCGGCGCUUUUCGACUAAUGAAGGCAGGUGCGGACCGAAGAGUGGGUAUCAGCUGACGGGGCUCACCGACAAGCUCGGUGUUCUGUGGUGGCUGAUAAAUGAAUCAAGUCGCGAACACCAUCCUGGGAACGCUGGUUCUCGGGUCAAAUGCAAGAUUCGGGCAGUAUAAACCAGACCAAAUAACAACCGUGUGAAGUCGCACGCAAGGGGACAGCCUGCUAAACCAGUGUGUGCAGGUUUCGGGGACCUGUUGUGUAACAAGAUCCAUCCAUCUCUGAUGUUUGGUUCGGGCUAGCUAUGGAUGGACCCAUCGCAGCUGUGGAAGUCGUAGCACGCUGAACUGAUGCGACGGAUAUUGCUGAUUCAAUAUCAGCAUUUGCUGGCUGCACUGGUAACUGCGGAAAUACCAGCGGUAUACAAAUUUGGUGGGAACGCAGCUCCGAAGGCCAGCUUCGAUAGUACUCAGUGCGGAGGCUGCGGACGUGCAACAUAGUCAUUAGUCAUAUGAAAGUCGGAUCCUGCUGUCGUUCGUGCCGAUGUUACGGCCGAACAACGCUGGGCCAAUCCAUGGUGCGAACAAACCGAUAAGCAGCAUGCGGCAUUCUGAUCCGCGAUAAGGCGGCCCUUCACUCUCCAGUGUCCACCGCCAGCGGAACAUGUUCGUCUGGCGUCAUAUUGCCGUAGUUAUCAUAGGAGGAGCCGUUAAUGCCGACUGACUGGUCAGCAUUCAUCAGUGGUGAACGGUUGGACGUCAACGAGCGUUCAGUAGCAACCUGACUUGAGGCUGCCAACGGAGUGAAUCUCUGUGUAGAAUAAAUGAGCAGUGCCGAAUAUUCGUGUGGAGCAAGGUAUAUCGGUAACUUGGCAAAUAGCACUGCUUAGCGGCGCACCCGGGCCCAUAACUACUCAUUCAUCCAUUCGGAUGCAAUUAAAAAAAAAAACGUCCACUCUCACUGAAGCUGCCAGGGAGCUACUUGCCACUCGUCCGGCGCCGCAGGUCGUCAGAAGCUACAGGCGUCGCCGCGGCUGCCGAGUUUUAUAAAGGGCGGUGAGCAGAUGUCGGACCAUGCCCCGGACUUCGACAGGUCGACUCAGCUGGGUGCAAUGCCGAAGAUAUUGUGCUUCCGCCAAUGAAAUAUUGAUUCAUGUGAAGGUCAUGGCUGAUGAUGUGCCGGGCCCGUGAAGCGCAGUUCGCUCGGCUCAGUGGAAUCCAGCUCUGCCGUUUUUCGACUGGACUUUAUCGCUUAAAGGUGUGCUGAGAGACUCGUUCAAAAGAUGUUUGCGGCCUGGCCAGAUUGAUAAAUCUUAUCAUGAGCGUGGAAGUCCCCGCGUUCUGAGGGAGCCCUUUAGCUCGCCAUACUGAGGUCCGGAUAAGGCAUUGCUCGGAGAGCCGCCCUGAGGAUCACCGGCUGAAUUGACCAGGACAAUAUUGUGAGGUGUUUCCACCAAGUGAUGCUUCAUUUUCUAACCGAAAGCGGUCACGGCCGGGGAUCAACGUCCCGCGCAUUUGAAAGGUUCAAUGCUGCUGAUGGAAUUGUGUCGAAUCUUGGACCCUCGACCAAUGCCCGAGAGGUCAAAGAAAAAAUGGGAACGGUUGACCAAUGAGAUCAUCGGUCAAGAUUACGCCGCUGCUCAAUGCGACCGGCUAAGUGAGCGGCAGGAGCAGCUGUUUCGGACCCUAUAGCCAACUGCUGAUUAUGUCGCCGAAUGGAAUAUGGCCGGGCAUUGCUCUCGCAGUUGCAUUGUCAAGCUCCAAUCUGGAUGGCACUACACAUCUGCAUCUCGUAACACAUCUUUGCUGGUUGCGGAAGUCGCUGAUGGGGCUAAAAAGGACUGCGGAAGUCUCCCGAUACGGCUCACAUUUUGCGAGGACGUGCUCUCGAGAAGAUGUGUGUGGUCUCCGCAGCAUGACUCAAAAACAUCAGCUGCACUGCAGACCUGGAGCCACAGCAAAACAAUUUAUCGAUGCCGAGCGAAACGUGUCAUUCGGGGCAAGUGUGGAACUCGUCCAACUCACGAGAUACUUGCGGAUUAUACGACCUGAACAUCGGUUUAGGUGUUGGUGACGCGAUUUGCCGACAACCAAUCCUGUGAACCAAGUCCUAAUUGGAGCUCUCCGUCCUGUUGCGGGGCUAUAGCCUCGGUGUGUGGCGAGCCGCCUGUGCGCUGUCGGAUAACAGGCACGUCGUCGACACGACUGGAGUGCUGGAGGCCACGCCCGUCGAAAUGUAACGCUCCACUGAGCCCAGGACCCGCGGGCGUGGCCAGUCGGCUACGGUGUCUCGCACUGACCAUCGCGCUUCAGUUUCCAUCGACCAGAAACGGCUACAUACACGGCAUAAUGCGAAGGGUUACGGUGAGACGAGCUGAUGGCAACCAAAAGCUCCUACCGAUUGCGGCGCAUAUCUUCACUAGACUUGUAUCGUGAGACUCGUCUGACGCACUACCAUCUGGAUUGAAAUUCUUCCCAGCCAGCAGGGCUCCUAUGGGGAACUUCUGCUGGAGCAGUGAGCACCAGCCAGCGCUCCGUGACCUAGCUAAUUGAACGUUCAGAAAGAUCUUCGAUCUGUUCCUGGCGUCGGCGUGAAGUCCGAUCGCUUUCUUUAAUCGGUUAAAUAGUUAUUCAUGGUAAGUAUAUGUAAAGUUUAUGUAUAUGUAAAGUAAAGUAUAUGUAAAUAUGUUAAGUUCAAUAAAUCGGAAAUAUUACAUUAUAACACAUUUCUCAUUAUCAGGACUUACUGAAUGAAAAUGCAGUUGUUUACAGUAAACUGAAUGAAAAUGCAGUUGUUUACAGUAAAAAUGAGUUUUAUUUAAUCUUUCGUUGGAUGAGCUGCAAUUGUUAUGCGGCUCAUUUUCUCGGCUCAGGCUUUCGCGCAAAGUGAACAAUGAACAUGCUUUGUGGUGUGGUCUGCCAAUAAAUGCUGAUACCUUA
Molecule: long non-coding RNA, 4011 nt
Organism: Amphibalanus amphitrite
Lineage: Eukaryota; Metazoa; Arthropoda; Thecostraca; Balanomorpha; Balanidae
Exons: 39
Source: RefSeq, a predicted model, not a curated record